UGGGGAAUAUUGCACAAUGGGCGCAAGCCUGAUGCAGCCAUGCCGCGUGUAUGAAGAAGGCCUUCGGGUUGUAAAGUACUUUCAGCGGGGAGGAAGGCGGUGAGGUUAAUAACCUCAUCGAUUGACGUUACCCGCAGAAGAAGCACCGGCUAACUCCGUGCCAGCAGCUGCGGUAAUACGGAGGGUGCAAGCGUUAAUCGGAAUUACUGGGCGUAAAGCGCACGCAGGCGGUCUGUCAAGUCGGAUGUGAAAUCCCCCGGCUCAACCUGGAAACUAAAUUGGAGACUGGCAGGCUAGAAUUUUGGAGAGGAGGGUAGAAUUCCAGGUGUAGCGGUGAAAUGCGUAGGGAUCUGGAGGAAUACCGGUGGCGAAGGCGGCCCCCUGGACAAAGACUGACGCUCAGAUGCGAAAGCGUGGGGAGCAAACAGG
Molecule: ribosomal RNA, 429 nt
Filed under: Chloroflexota bacterium
Lineage: Bacteria; Bacillati; Chloroflexota
Description: Chloroflexi bacterium partial 16S ribosomal RNA
Rfam family: Bacterial small subunit ribosomal RNA
Source: RNAcentral